ACAAUCAAAGCCUUCCAAAAUUUGAAUCGAAGAAAAGAAUAACAAAGCCAAAAUUAAUCCAUUGCUGAUUACAUAUACUCUCUUAGAACCUUAGGCAAAUAUUGUAUAUCCAAAACCUAAGUAACUAAUUACAGAGAGCUUGUUACAGAGACCUUAGGCAAAUAUUGUAUAUCCAAAGCCUAGGUAACUGAUUACAAAGAGCCUGUUACAGAGAGCAGCCUGUUACAGAGAGCAGCCUGUUCUCUGUGAUCUAGUUGGUAGUUUUCGAAACUCCUUUCAAUGAGUGAAAAGAGUGUUUGAAGUUGUGUGAAGUUCAGCCAAGAUGAUUUUUUACAACAGAUUUCUAACUUAUGUAAUUCAUAUACCACAUAUGCAGAAACAAACAUCCCACACCACCUACUCAAGGUAUUAUCCCCUUUUGUUUAAUUCUCCAAAUCACCAACAGAGAAUCCCAACACACACACACUUACUUGACGUUUCACUAUAUGUUUACAAGAUAUGUUAUAUGUGAACUGGAAUUACAGGGGAAGAAUAAAAGACUUUAUAUUGAGUAUUACAGUUGUAAAGUGAAUUUGCACAAGAAAACCCUAUGUUUAAAUGUCUGAACUGAAUUGAUGCUUGACACCCCUGUUUUGUGUGUGUGAGUCAAAGUUGGGAAAGGACAGCCUCGGUGGCUCGUCGUCGGCAACGGAGCGGCGGCGGUGAACCUGUCGUCGUCUCCGAUCUGCCAAAGAGGGGAAAAGAGAGGAGUAUUUCAGUUUUGAUUUGAAAAAAAAGAAGAAGAUGAGGAAAAGAAAAAAAAGGGGGAAAGAGAGGAGUUAGGGUUUACCGAUUUCAGGCGGGGCGGAGGCGGAGGUAGCUUCGGCUGUUCGUCGGAAAAGAAGGAGCAGGCGGCGGCGCGCCGCGGUGGGGCGUUUGCUGUCCUGUUUCCGGGGCGCGCGGCUUACGCUGUGUCCGUGCGUGUGUGUUUGAUUGUUGAGAGGGAAAUAGAGAGAUGUUGGGGGCCAGCUAGGGGAAGAAGAGAUGGGAGGUUGGGCUUCAGCGGAGGGAGGCAGGGCACGGCGGCGGUGCCGCUGCUGCCCGGCACGGCCGGAGAGAGAGAGAGGUGGNGCGGCGGCGGUGAACCUGUCGUCGUCUCCGAUCUGCCAAAGAGGGGAAAAGAGAGGAGUAUUUCAGUUUUUGAUUUGAAAAAAAAGAAGAAGAUGAGGAAAAGAAAAAAAAGGGGGAAAGAGAGGAGUUAGGGUUUACCGAUUUCAGGCGGGGCGGAGGCGGAGGUAGCUUCGGCUGUUCGUCGGAAAAGAAGGAGCAGGCGGCGGCGCGCCGCGGUGGGGCGUUGCUGUCCUGUUUCCGGUGGCGGCGCGGCUUACGCUGUGUCCGUGCGCAUGUGAGUGUGUGACAGAGGGAAUGAGAGAAGAGGAGGGAGAAGGAGACGACGGCCGUGUGGCCGGAGAGGAGGACCAGGCGGCGGCGCACUGCGGUGGUGGCGUCUGCUGUCCUGUUUCCGGCCGAGAGUGAGCGAGAGAGAUAGAGGCGAGAGGGUGAGAGAGAAAGAGGGGUCAGAGAGGAGAGAGCGAGUCGAGGGAGAGAGGGCCUAUGCCGGUUCCCAUCGGGCGGGGCCGCCUUUGAGCGGCGGCCGCAGAGAGCCGGUCAGAAAGAGAGAGGGAACAGUGUGUGUGGCUGACCUGAGAGUGUGUGAAUGAAGGUGUUUUAAUGUGUGUGCAACUUGGUUAAGUAUUAAGAUGGGCUUGGGAUGAGCUUGGGCUUUUAUUUAAUUGCUGGGCCUUUUUCUUUGUUUAUUAGACUCGGCCCUUUGACAAUAAAAUCUGAUGGGUUUUUAUAAAAUAAAAUCUUUGAGCUUAACUAUUUAAUUAAUUUGGGCUCAUAUCUAUUUAAAUUAUUUGGGCCCUUAUUUGUUUAAUUCAAUUGGGCUUGACUAAUUUAUUUAGUUGUGGGGCUUUUAA
Molecule: long non-coding RNA, 1961 nt
Filed under: Salvia miltiorrhiza (redroot sage)
Lineage: Eukaryota; Viridiplantae; Streptophyta; Magnoliopsida; Lamiales; Lamiaceae
Description: long non-coding RNA (SMIL_LNC004875)
Source: RNAcentral